This 84-nucleotide microRNA precursor is filed under the name Bombyx mori (domestic silkworm). Its description in RNAcentral is "mir-2807 microRNA precursor family". It matches the Rfam family "mir-2807 microRNA precursor family". Lineage: Eukaryota; Metazoa; Arthropoda; Insecta; Lepidoptera; Bombycidae. The record is from Rfam by way of RNAcentral.
UUAACUCAAAUUUGUAUGGAAUGGGAUCGUUUGCGUACGUUUGCCGCUAGGGGCGCUGUUCCUACUGCAUACAAAAUUGGGUUA